Molecule: ribosomal RNA, 253 nt
Filed under: uncultured bacterium
Lineage: Bacteria
Description: partial 16S ribosomal RNA
Rfam family: Bacterial small subunit ribosomal RNA
Source: RNAcentral
UACGUAGGGUGCGAGCGUUAAUCGGAAUUACUGGGCGUAAAGUGUGCGCAGGUGGCCGCGCAAGUCGAGUGUGAAAUCCCCGAGCUUAACUUGGGAAUUGCGCUCGAAACUACGUGGCUCGAGUGUGGCAGAGGAAGGUGGAAUUCCACGUGUAGCGGUGAAAUGCGUAGAGAUGUGGAGGAACACCGAUGGCGAAGGCGGCAUCCUGGACCGGUAUUGACGCUGAGGCGCGAAAGCCAGGGGAGCAAACGGG